Molecule: transfer RNA, 68 nt
Filed under: Marmota monax (woodchuck)
Lineage: Eukaryota; Metazoa; Chordata; Mammalia; Rodentia; Sciuridae
Description: tRNA.Ala
Source: RNAcentral
GAUAUAGGUCAGUUGGUAGAGUACUUGCCUUGCAUGCACAAGGCCCUGGGUUCGAUCCCCAGCAAUCA